This 230-nucleotide ribosomal RNA is filed under the name Conoclinium coelestinum. RNAcentral describes it as "partial internal transcribed spacer 2". Lineage: Eukaryota; Viridiplantae; Streptophyta; Magnoliopsida; Asterales; Asteraceae. The record is from RNAcentral.
AUCACGUCGCCCACGUCACACAUCAUCCGGUCUUGGAUGGUUUUGUGUGUGGGCGGAGACUGGCCUCCCGUGCCCAUGGUGCGGUUGGCCUAAAUACGAGUUCGCUAAAGAAGGAGGCACGACUGGUGGUGGUUGAUUACGCAGUCGUCUCGUGUCGUGUGCUCUGAUUCUUAAACGGAAGAGACUUAAAAAGUACCCCGAUUUGCUGUACUUGUGACGGCAUUUCGAUU